Molecule: ribosomal RNA, 916 nt
Filed under: uncultured bacterium
Lineage: Bacteria
Description: bacterial SSU rRNA
Rfam family: Bacterial small subunit ribosomal RNA
Source: RNAcentral
UUGUUGGUAAGGUAAAAGCUUACCAAGGCUUCGAUCAGUAGCUGGUCUGAGAGGACGACCAGCCACACUGGGACUGAGACACGGCCCAGACUCCUACGGGAGGCAGCAGUGGGGAAUUUUGGACAAUGGGGGCAACCCUGAUCCAGCCAUGCCGCGUGAGUGAAGAAGGCCUUCGGGUUGUAAAGCUCUUUCAGCCGGAACGAAACGGUUACGGAUAACACCCGUGACUACUGACGGUACCGGAAGAAGAAGCACCGGCUAACUACGUGCCAGCAGCCGCGGUAAUACGUAGGGUGCGAGCGUUAAUCGGAAUUACUGGGCGUAAAGCGUGCGCAGGUGGUUUUGUAAGUCAGAUGUGAAAGCCCCGGGCUCAACCUGGGAACUGCGUUUGAAACUACAAGACUAGAGUGUGGCAGAGGGGGGUGGAGUUCCGCGUGUAGCAGUGAAAUGCGUAGAGAUGUGGAGGAACACCGAUGGCGAAGGCAGCCCCCUGGGUCAACACUGACGCUCAGGCACGAAAGCAUGGGGAGCAAACAGGAUUAGAUACCCUGGUAGUCCAUGCCCUAAACGAUGUCAACUAGUUGUCGGGCCUUUACGGGCUUGGUAACGUAGCUAACGCGUGAAGUUGACCGCCUGGGGAGUACGAUCGCAAGAUUAAAACUCAAAUGAAUUGACGGGGACCCGCACAAGCGGUGGAUUAUGUGGACUAAUUCGAUGCAACGCGAAAAACCUUACCUACCCUUGACAUGUAUCGAAGCCCGCAGAAAAGCGGGGGUGCCCGAAAGGGAACGAUAACACAGGUGCUGCAUGGCUGUCGUCAGCUCGUGUCGUGAGAUGUUGGGUUAAGUCCCGCAACGAGCGCAACCCUUGUCAUUAAUUGCCAUCAUUUAGUUGGGCACUUUAAUGAGACUGCCGG